Molecule: long non-coding RNA, 247 nt
Organism: Drosophila hydei
Lineage: Eukaryota; Metazoa; Arthropoda; Insecta; Diptera; Drosophilidae
Exons: 3
Source: RefSeq, a predicted model, not a curated record
AAAAUUAUGAAAAUGUUCUAAAUUGGAAUCGAAGUUUAUUGUCGCGUGUAUCAAAAAUCCAUGAGCAUCAUGUGGCACAUGUGCCUCUUGUUCCAACUCAGGCUUCUUUUUGGGCACAUAGGGAUUAUGCUCCGGAUCCGCAUUUAAGCUGAGUAUUAAUUAAGCAAUGUCGCAGGCAAAUUCUUUCUGAUUGAAUAUAGUGCCGUUUGUGCAGAGGAACGAGGCGCCCUGGUGUCCCUCCCGACCG